This is a long non-coding RNA of Carassius auratus (goldfish), 432 nucleotides long. RefSeq lists it as uncharacterized. The transcript is spliced from 3 exons. NCBI's taxonomy places the organism in Eukaryota, Metazoa, Chordata, Actinopteri, Cypriniformes, Cyprinidae. The record is from RefSeq and is a predicted model, not a curated record.
GGCAGCAUCAGUUUAUCAGGCGGCCUGCGGUGCACUUACAGCUCAAACUGUGAAGCCAUAUUGUUGUAAGGUUGAUGAAAAAUGAGGUCAUGGCCUGUUUCAGUAUGAAGUGGGGGAAGGGGAAGCUUGCUUUCACCAAGAUCAAUCUGUACACUGUUGUCACAGGUAAAACAAAAUUAACAUAUAAUACAAAUAUUAGCAUCAUAUCAUUGUGACAUUCAGCGUUGUUUAGUUUCUGUUUUAGUUGGUUUAGUGAAAACCAGUAACCUCGUAUUGUAGGUACUCAUCUGUCACACAGAAAUCACACAAACUUCCAUAUAUACACUUCUUAUUGAUUGGCAGGUCAUUCCUGUUGCCAGCCUAUCUUUAUUGUUCAGAACUCUAACAAUUGUUUCAUUCUGCAAUUUAAUGUAUUAGACAUUAAAUGUUAAU